GCGUGUUUUUUUUUUGUGAUCUCUUGAUGUGAUCGAUCCUGUGGGCGAGUUCCAACAACGGUCACCACUGACUCCGAUCUACCACCGUCCAGUGCAGCACUAAAAUCUCAUCACUGGGUUCAUGAUCAGUGAGGGACGUGGGCAUUAUUUUGGUCUUCUGCCAUUCGAUGGCGCAUUUUAGUAUCUGCACUGCAGAGGUGAGAGUACAAAAUAACAGUUGUGAGGAACACAUGGAUCAGUGUGGCUCUAUUGGUUUAUUAAGAUUUGUAAUUUUGGUGUGUGUUUUGUAUACGAAGUUGUUGUGGAUCAAGUAAUUUAAUCAAGUCCAUUUGAGUCAAUGGAAUUACCGAACGUGUUGUCUUCUUUUUGGCUUGAUCUUGUUCUACUGUGUGUGCUCUGGAUUGACCUUCUUAGGCUUGUUUCUGUGGUGUAGAGAGCCAGGUUUGUCUAUUACUUGUGCUGGUGGCUUUGGCUAUAGGUUGGUGAGUUUAAAGACUGAUGUUUGCUCUUUAGGCCUGGUUUGGCUAUGGUCUGGUUGCCUGCGUGUAGUUCAUGUUUUUCCUAAUGUUUUAGGGUUGCUUUUACUUUCAGUGUUAUUUUCUCUAGUUCAUGUAAUAAGCAGCAGGCAUGUUGCAUGCCAGCGCCACGAGGCAAUGCCAGAAGCGCUAUUCGGCUACAGCAUCACAGCCAAAGGGCGUCCAUCGUGAAGGCAACAAUUAUAUGAAGCAUCACUUCCUGUAGGUCAGGUAGCAUAAUAUUUCAAACAAUGGAAGUAAAUGCAUACAAACUACUCCCUCCGUCCCAUACUGUGUAAAAAACGCUCUUAUAUUACGAGACGGAGGGAGUACAUUAUAUCCCUAACAAAUAAGAGGCAAAAUAGACAGGUGUGGUAAUGUGCGCCAUCAAUGAUGUAGUACACUCUAGAACAGUUGGACAAUUACUAAGUUUAACAAUCAUAUUUUCUGAACCUAUAUUAGGAUAUUUGUUUAACUAAUGAAGUAGAAUCCAUUAUGAAGAUAUUUAUAUAUGUCGUGCACACACACACACACACACACACACACACACACACACACACACCAUAAUUUAUUACCUUUUUUACAUUUGUUUAUGAUUUGUUAUAAGUUGAAUCAAUUCUACAAUAUGCCUCAAACUAAAAUUUGAACAAAAAGGAGACAAUUGCAUGAUUAAUUUUAUCCCAGAUUUUUAAAAGAUUGACAUGUGAUUUUAUAACAAUAAAUUUUGAUUAUUUUACAUACCUACUCGUUUGUGUGAAUAAUAUUGCUAGAUACAAUUGAAACAAAUAGUGUUGAUCAUUGUAUGGCAUAUGUUAUAUUGAUUCAAAAUAGGGUUGAGAUUCAGUGGCAAUUAGAUACCAAGAAGUACAAGUGUUUAAUAUAAAAUGCGGGAUUUGGUGGUCGCCACCUCUCGUUCGUGGUUGAUUUGCGGUACAAAGUGGUAUAUUUUAUCUCCGCUCUACAAAUAUGUUAUAUACUAACAGAACAAGUAUAAUAUGGAGGACGGCGAUUCAAUGCACGGGCAUGUGGCCGGUAUCGUGUGCGUUUGAUCCGGUGUGGGGAUUUGGAAAAAUGCUGACGUGGGACAGGUUUUAGCAGUUGAAAAAUCGCGUAUACAUGAGGAGUCGUAGGAACAGUGAUGUAUGGCGGGACCAAACCGUAGGUGGCAGGCGAGAUUAAUGGGGUGGGCGGAGAGAGGCGUCGAGUCCGAAGUUAUAGGCCGUGGCUCAGGAAUGUGAGGAAAAUCAUUGGCAUGGGGACGGAAUGUGCACCUGAUAGGGUCGGGGGUUGUCGAACUUAAUCAAAACGUGGUUUUCCCGUGUGUCCCGUGCACACCACUAAAGCUACAUAAGUUGUUCUUCGAAAAAAAACUAUAUAAGUUGUUCGUUUCGGUUCUUCUUAGAUGAGCUGGGUUUAUUUUUUGCAAAAAGAUCAGAUUUAUUAUAAAGAUUCCCCACAAAGCCGCCUGAUUGUGCGACGCUGCCGAUUUCAUUUGCUGCUAGCAAUGGGGGUGAUUAUGGGGGUGUUGCUGAAACACCUACCCACCCGAAGUGCGGAAGGUUCGAUCGUGUGUGUGCGUGUGGAAGGACCAUUCAAAGAUGAUCCGUUAAAUUUAGAUGAGAUGAUUCCAGUAAUACACUACCACGUUGUUCCAUCGGCGUCCUCCUCAGAUGCACCAAACGAUCAUCGACGUCCUCCUCCGAGGAGGAUCGCCUGGAGCAAUUAAACUAAUAAGUUGGAACUGUCGGGGUCUCUUGGGAACCCCGACGGUUCUUUUGCUUCUGGACAUCCAGAGGUGACAUAAUUCAGAUGCGUUUUUUCUGUCUGAAACGCAUUUGGAUGAGGAUAGGGCAGCUUGAGAAGGAAAAUGAGGAUGGAUUACAAAAUCGUUGCGCCAAGCCUUGAUGGAAGGAAAGGUGGUUUGCUUUUAGUCUGGAAGAAGGAGGUGAGGAUCUACUCCGGGACUACCACUUUUAGUGUCAUCAAUGUGAUGGUGGAGGAAUCAAAUGGAAGAGAAUGAAGGCUUUAGGGAUUGUAUGGGGAGCCGAGUUGGGAUCAUACGUACCAGCUAAUACUUGCAUGCUCAAUCUAAUCUCCUGUGGGUGGUCAUUGGUGAAUUUAAUGAGAUUCUAUUCUCGACAGAAAAGGAGGGAGGUGCGCCACGGAGCAAGCGCUAAGAUGUGCUUCGAAAGGCACAUAAUCUUCAUCUCCUACAGAUAUCUGCAACAUCUGCUGAUUUUAAUUCCCUGAUGUGCAGUUUGGUAAAUCCUACUCAUCUUUGCUAUCUAAAGCUCGGAGUCGUUAAGGUGCAUGAGGGUUUGCCUCAAGUUUGGAGCAAGUUUUGCCAUCUUCAAGUAUUAGAUUCUUUGUCUGGACGCUGCUGCAGAACAGACUUUGGACUGCAAAUCGACUGCUUGUGAGAGGCUGGAUCAUCAGGAUACUUGCUCCACUUGUGAUCAGGUGCUUGAGUCUGCCCACCACCUGAUAUUCGCCAAGCAGGUCUAGACUGCAUACCAAAAUACGAGACCACUGGCAAGCCAGGCAGAGCUGCACUCAACCUCUGUUGGGACUUGGGACCUGGUGGGAGACGAUCCUGCCUCUCAGGGAAAAAGGACAGGGCACUGAUGAUUGCACCUUCUCAGCUUACGUGGCAUGCAUGGAACCUCUGGAAUGAGCGAAAUCGAAGAGUUUUCAGAAAUCAGCAAAAGAACCCUGUGUGUGUUCGAAGAUUAACGAUGAGAUCAGCCUCUUUGAUGAGGCAUGGGAGAGCAAUAGUUUUUUUUUCUUUUGAACUGUACAGCCAGGCAGCUGAGGCAGGCCUUGCUUGUACUGGGUCUUUUAUUCUUUUUUCAGCUUUUCCUAGUAGCUUCACUACUACUGUAAAGUAUUUCCCCCUCCUUAAAUGAAAAGGCAGAGCACCUGCCGUUCCGGUCAAAAAAAAAUGUCAACUGUGUUGGUCAGUGGAUCUAGCUAGAGCCUUACUGCAGAACACAUGGCAGCAUAGGUAUAUUUGUCAUAACCGAGGUUAGCAUCUGUGGCUGCGUGCUGUUUUACUGCCUCGGAAAGUGGUGCUUCGCGGCCUUUUAGGCGCAAUUCCACCAUGGAUCAUGUCAUGCCCAGAGUUUACAUGCUGAAGUUCUGUUAUUAGUUUCUUGGAAAGUAUAAAAAGCUGAUCUUGUGACAGUUUCCUGGGCUGGCACGCUGUCACGUGAGCGCCUCGUCCUCAUGUAAUCCGUUUUGCUUGCCAUAUCCACUGAAAGCACCGAAAACAAAGUGAUACGUUAUUUACUGAAUCUUGUGAACUCAAACUGCAAACUUAAUCUUUUCAUCUCCUUGACUUGAGAAGGAACUCUGUGGGGACUUUGGUAAUCCCUAGUAAGAUAUGCAUUGUGCAGUCUGCAGUUCAUUACAAGAUUGCGUGAAGAAACAUUUGCAAAACUCCCUCGAUAUGAUAGGCCGUGCAGAAUUUCUCUGUAGCUACACUGAUGCACUUGGUAGGCCUGAACUCAUAUGUUGCGGUGUCUUGAACUGAUAUGUCAUACCUUGAUCCGUCAGAGUUCAGGACGCAUUCAGCAGCAGACGCCUAAUCGAUCUCUCCUUAAAUUUGAAUGUGCGACCCUACUGGUUGCUCACUACGUGGUUCUUGUUCAUUGUGCACUAUGCUAUCUUGUCAUCUUAUAUGGAGUUCAUUUCCUGGGGGUGCUUUGGGAUAAUUUUGCUCCAGGCAUGCUGUCCUUCUUCCGGUGAGGUUUGCAAAAACUUGUAGUAAUGACUUUGUGUUCCCCCGUUGUAAUCUUAAUCGUUUGUUUGUCAUGUUCAUGACUUGCUGGCCGCGUUUGGAAGCCCUGUAAGUACCAUAUUAUAGCUCUGAUCUCUUUGGUUUAUCUAUAAGAUUCAACCCAAAUAAACUCUAAACCGGCUAAGUUUCAACCCUCAACCAUGAGAACCGGCUAAUUUUUCUUGUCUCAGCUUGAACCUUCUUGUUCAAUUCUGCUUCUUCUUUCUUCUUGGCAGUUCUCUCCAAUGUAGCCAACCUUCUUCUCUCUGCAAGCUCAGCUUUCCUCUGUGCAACCUCAUGUUUCCUUUUUGCUAUCUCUGCAGCUCUCUUCAAUUCCUCUUCUCUUCUAGAUGCAAGUAUUGCCUUCUUCCUCUCCUCUACUUCCCUAUCUUUCUGAUUCUUCAUGGCCUCCAAUUUCUGUACCAACUCACCUGGCCUUAUGGUGCUUGAACUAGCUUGGCUCCCUUGGCUUCCAUUACUCUGGUUGAGCAGCACUUGGGCAGCAGUAAGGAAAGCAGAAGCAGGUACUGGCCUUUGUUCAACAACCCUUGUUGUUGGCAUCUACGAAGAAUGUACAUUUGAUGAGAAUAAUAGGAUAUUCAUGUACAAAGAAUGUACAUUUGAUGAGGAGAUCAGUAGUACCUGGGCAAUCAUGUUGUCAACCAUGAGAUCACCACAUGCAGGAGCCACAUUUGUAGGAGUCACAUUGGCACCAACAACACCUUCAUUUGGAGGAGUGGCAUUGACAGCAGCAGUACCUUCAUUUGGAGGAGGCACAUUGACACCAGCAUUACCUUCAUUUGGAGGAGGCACAUUUGAAGAUGGUUGAUCAUUUGGUGGAGGCACAUUAGGUGGUGGCAGUCCAGCCUUCAAGGUCUUGCACCCCUUCCUGUUGUGAUCUGCAUCACCACAAAGAACAAUGCAUAAUGACACCAUGCCUUGUGAUUUUCUUCCCUCCCCUCCUAUGAUCAACCUCUCCAGGUGCCUGUCUCCUUGUAGUACAUGGCCUUCCAACAUGCUUCUGGUACAAUGGUGGCAUUAUUGGAGGCCCAUGUAAGUCUUCCCAUUCACUCCUAUCUCUACAAGGAUAGAUAAUAUUGCCAUAUGCUUUCUUGAACACAUGUUUUGAGUAGCAAUGAUCAACCAUGUUCAAAGGAUCAACUCUAUCAUUCCUGCAGCAGGCUACCACAUGAGAGCAUGGAAUGCCUGCUUUCUGCAUUCUUCUACAUGUGCAGGUUUUCUUGUGCAUGUCCACUAUGUAAUCCAUUCCUCUAUCACCUGCUAGGAAUAAGCCAUCUCCUGAUCCCUCCACAUAGCAUGUGUUUGCAAAUUCUGUUACCUUUUCAACCUUCUUCCUGAUCUUUGGACAUACAUCUCCUUGCCAUUUAUCUGACUCCAGCUGUUUGUUGUAAUGCCUUGUCAUAAGUUGCAUGUAAAUCCUGUCAACCAUGAUCAGUAUUGGUAGUUCCCUUGCUUCCAGGAUAUACCUGCAUUUAACAGCAAACCAUGGUAAGUAUUGGUAAUUCACUACAUUGAAAAGCAUUUUGGCAAACUUCACAAAUGUACCUGUUGAAAACUUCACAAAUGUUGUUAAGCAGAAUAUCACAUUUUGGCAAGUCACUUUGAAAAGCCUUAACCCAAGUUUGUGGUUCUAGCUCAUGCAGCCAUUUGUAUGCCUUAACAUUAAGAACCUUCAUCUCCUCCAUGCCCUGUUCAUACAACUGCACUGUAUUGCUCCUAGCUAUCUUCCAGAGUUGAUUCUUCAAGAUGUCACCUUUGAAAUGUUGUUGAAAGUUUUGCCACAUGUGCCUAACACAAUAUCUGUGUUCUGACUCAGGGAACAGUCCUUCAACUGCAUUGAUGAGCCCCUACAAUUGCAAAGCAACAUAACCAUUCAGAAGCUAUUCACAACCAUUCACAUAGUAAUUACACAUAAACUUUGAAAAAAAAGAUGGUACUUACCUUUUGUUUGUCUGACAUGAUAGUCCAAGGUUCAGUGUUUAUGAUGCCUAGGUCCCUUUUGAGUGUGUCAAGAAACCAUGACCAGUUAGGGGUGUCCUUAACUUCAACCACAGCAAUGGCAAUUGGAAAUAUGCAGUUAUUUGGAUCUACCCCAACAGCUGCAAGCAGUUGUCCUCUGUAUCUAGUUUUAAUGUGGCAACCAUCUAGGAAGAUGACUGGUCUACAACCCUCCAGAAAUCCUCUCUUGCAAGCAUAUAGACACAUGUACAACUUGCUGAACCUAGCAUUUUCAUCUAAUGAAACAUAGAAGGAUGAGCCAGGGUUGCUUCUCCUUACCUCAUUAGCAUAAUUCCAUAGCAGCUUGUACUGCCCUUCCUCAUCACCAUAAAUAAUUUUUAUAGCCAUUCUCCUUGCUCUUUGAAGUUUCAUCCUAGUGGGUGUCAUAUGCCAUUCUUUCUGAACAACCCUUGAGAAAUUCAUCAAGUUCAUAUCUUGAUCAGCCCUAAAGCUCUCUAGGUAUUUCAUUGCUAGGAAUCUUGGUGUGAAAGCCCUAAUCUUCCACUUCUUGCUGCAUGUGUGCUCAUGCACAUAUCUCUUCACCAUGAAAGCCUUAGUUCUGCUAUCAUAUGAUGCCCACAAGUACCAUGUGCAGUCUUCAUCACAUUUUGCUUUCACUCUUUUCCUAUCAUUCACAGGAAGCUUGAUAUCAGCUCUGUUCUGGCAGGAGUACUCUUUAAUUGCUUUCUUAGAAGCUCCACACUCUCAAAAACCUGCCCUACAUGGAAUUUUGGCCUAUGAAGAUCCUCUGGUCUGAAAGUUUUGAACUUUAAAUGCAUUUCCUCAUCAUCAGAAUCAGGUGCCCACAAAUCUUCACCUUCAGACAAGUCUUCAUCUGAAUUGUACUGCUGCUUGCUUUUGUCUUCAUCUGUAGGUUUCACAUGCUUGACUUUCUCCUUUGAAUUGUUCUUAUGGUUCUGUUCUGGUUCAUCCUCAUCAACAUUAUCUGCAAACAAGUCAUCAUCAUCAUUUCCUAUCUCAUUGUCACUGUCCACAAGUACACCUGGGUCAUAGUCCUCAUCAUCUGUAUCACUUGCAUCAUCCUCUGCUUCCAUAUCAUGACUGCUUUUGAUCCUCCUACUUGAUGUGCUUCCUCCAACAUCCUCAUUUGCAACAGCUUCUGCAUCUUUCCCUGCUUCAACUUCAGGGUAUACAACCUGGAGAGGAGUAGGUGCUGCCUCUGGUUCUGCCUCUGCUUCCCCUGUUUUUGCAGUCAUGCUGCUGCCCACUCUUUUUGCAGGACUAAAUACUGGAGGCAAAGUGGCUCUAGGAUAGUUCACAACAUCAUCCUCACUUAGGUUUGCUUGUAAGCUCUCAUCAUGAUCAAGAUAUAUACUAAAGGAGUGGUGCCCAAUAUCAAUAAACAUCAACAUUCUAUCUGUUUGCUCAUCAUCACUAAGCUGCUUGAGACCAUUAUUACUGAGUGUAAGGAUGGUUGACACAAUAGUAUACCUUCAACCUCCCUGCCAUCUCAUAACCAAUCUCCUCAACAAGGUGUUCAAUCAUAAUUGGUGACCAAGUGACCUUCUCCAGAUUAUCGUACCAAAUGGCACGACCAUUAACAUAAGCACGAUUACUUCCAUGCCCAACAAAAAAUCCACCAUGGUUGAUUUGCACAGAGAAGUUGGUGCUUCGAGGGCCUGAUACACAAGACAGAAACAUCAUGCAUCAUAAUUGACUCUAGCAUCAUUUCAUUCGAGUUUCUAAAACCCUAACCCCCAAAGACCAUCAAAUCCAAUACCGAAACCAUCGAAACUACCAGCUGCAUACCAUCUAUAAUGACAAUGCGGGCCAAAAAGGAGUGUCUUUGAACAUCAAAAUGCAAAAAAAGUCGGAUUUAUGCAAGAUGAAACUUACUGUACACGGGGGGAGGCGCCCCUUCUGCGCGACGAACAGGGGCCAUCGCCACCACCUACCACCGGUGGAAUUGACGCGGCGGCGGCGCCUCUCCAGCCACGGAAGAAAUCAGCACGCGGCGGCGCCUGUAGGCCGAUGAUCGCCGGGGCGGCGACGCCUAUGCAGCGCCUUCCCUGUCUCCAAUCGAAGACGAAGAGGCGUCGUCAGAUAGAGGAGCGGGGCGGACAGCGGUGGUGUGGUGGGGCGAUUUUACACUUAAUCCCUCGCCGCAAGAUUGGCCUAAUCGGAGCUGAGAACGUGGCGGUCAACAGGUGGUCAAAGGAGCGGCUACUCACCGCAUACGACCAACAGUGACCGUACAUUCACGUCACAUCGUAUAUAGUGACCGUAACAGCCGUAUUUCUAAGUUCAGUGACUGUAUCGGGCUCUCGUCGCAACUACAAUGACCGUGAGUGUAAGACAAUAAGUUUUGGGGGAACCAGCACAACCCUCUAGGGGUGGCUUAUCUCAUUAUAUAUAAUGGAUGUGUUACAAUAUGUACAAUAUACGUACAUAAGUACAGAAGCUAUACAUAGUCUAACACCCUCCCUCAAUCUUAGCCACUUUCUAAAGAACUGAGAAGGGUAAGAUUGCGCCUACAAGCCUCAAACUGUGGCAGAGGUAAAGGCUUAGUGAAGAUGUCUGCAAGUUGAUCCUUAGAUGAGAUAAACUUGAUCUGGAGUUGCUUCUGUGAUACACGUUCCCGUACAAAGUGAUAAUCAACUUCAAUGUGUUUCGUUCGGGCAUGAAAUACUGGAUUUGCAGAAAGGUAUGUAGCACCGAUGUUAUCACACCAAAGAAUAGGAGGCUGUGGUUGAGACAAACCCAACUCCUGAAGCAAAGACUGCACCCAAAUAAUCUCUGUAGUAGCAUUAGCCACAACCUUGUACUCAGCUUCAGUACUGCUACGUGACACAGUAGCCUGUUUCCGAGCACUCCAGGCGAUCAAAUUAGGGCCAAAGAAUACUGCAUAACCCCCCGUGGAUCGCCUGUCAUCUGGGCUACCAGCCCAAUCUGCAUCAGAGAAGGCCGAAAGGACCCGAGAGGAAGUCGGCCGAAUAUGCAUACCAAAUGUCAGGGUGAACUGAACAUAACGAAGAAUGCGUUUAACAGCAGCCCAAUGAGUAUCUCUGGGAGCCUGAAGAUACUGACAAACCCUGUUAACAGCAUAAGAGAUAUCCGGUCUCGUGAUCGUCAAGUACUGAAGUCCACCAACAAUGCUCCUGUACUCUGUGGCAUCCGCAGGAGACAAAAGCUCACCAUCAACAGCUGUUAUCUUGUCGGUAGACGACAUGGGUGUGGUGGUCGGUUUGCACUUCAGCAUGCCCGCUCUUUGUAACAACUCCAAGGAGUACUUCUUCUGCGUAAGGACAAGACCAGUAGCACGAGAAGUGACCUCAACUCCAAGAAAGUAGUGAAGCUUCCCAAGAUCUUUGACCGCAAAAUCAGCACCAAGAGAGCAGACAAGAGCAUCAGCAGCAUACUGAGAAGAGCUGACAAGGAUAAUAUCAUCGACAUAUACCAAAAGAUACAUAGUGACUUCUGGCUUCUGUAGAAGAAAUAAUGAAGUGUCAGCAGUGGACGGCACAAACCCAUGAGCACGAAGGGCAGAGGCAAGGCGGGCAUGCCAGGCACGAGGAGCUUGCUUCAAACCAUAUAGUGCUUUGGAGAGACGACAGAUAUAGUCAGGACGAUCAGGAUCAGAGAAACCAGGCGGUUGUUUCAUAUAAACCUCUUCCUCCAAAAAUCCAUGUAGAAAAGCAUUCUGCACAUCAAGUUGACGAAGUGACCAACCACGAGAAACAGCAAUGGAGAGAAGAAGCCGAAUAGUGGUAGGCUUGACGACAGGACUGAAGGUGUCCUCAUAGUCAAGACCAUGGCGCUGCCGAAAACCGCGAGCAACAAGUCGCGCUUUGUAACGCUCAAUAGAUCCAUCCGAAUGCUUCUUCACUUUGAAUACCCAUUUUGAGUCAAUAACAUUUACCCGUGGUGGUGGAGGAACGAGAGUCCAUGUCUUGUUACGAAGGAGAGCAUCAAACUCCUGCUCCAUAGCCUCUCGCCAAUGUGGAAUGCGCAGGGCAGCCUGAUAUGAGCGAGGCUCAGAAGAUGGAUCCGCAACAGCAGCAGCCAAACAAGCAGCCAACCAAGCAACCGUACCAUCCUUACGUUCCUUAGGUUUGAAAAUGCCACUGCGACUGCGUGUAUGUGGUCGGGACACAGGAACCACCGAGGUCGACGGAGCAGCCUGCAACGGGCUGGAGGACGGCGACGUUGACGAGUCAGCCGGUGACGAGGAGCCAGACACGGUAGCCUCGGGCUCGGUCGGCGAAGAAGGCCGGCCCACCGGCGAAACCGGCAGAGCAGACGAAGCAGUUGGCGACGCCGGCGUCACAGACCGGGCCGAUGGCGAGCCCGGCAUAGUGGGCUGUGGCGCGGCCGGUGUCGCGGGCCGAUCCGCGGAUGAAGGCGACGUGAGGACGGCGUCGCGGACCCGAGCUGCAGGCGAAGACGGCGUGACGGGCCGAGCCGCGGGCGAAGACGGCGUGACAGGCCGAGCCGCUGAAGACUCGGCGGCCGCUGGCGAAGAGGGCCGAGCCGCUGGAUACUCGGCGGUCGCUGGCGUAGCGGACCGAGCAGUGGAGAUGCUCGGCGCGACGGGCUCUUCGGGUGACCAUGCAUGGGCACGCGAAUCGAUGCCAUGCAACAUAGGGCGAUCGACGUGCCCAUCAGAAGGCGGCGAUGAUGAUGGUGAAUCCUCCAACAGCUCCAAACGAGCCCCACGUCCGGUUCCUACACCAUGGUUAGGUAACAGCAAAGGAGAGUAUGCAACAUCAUCAAAUUGGUCAGAAGCAACAGAGGAUGAAUGCAGAGAUGGUGGUUCGAUAGUGGACACAGGAAGUUUGGCAAAGGGAAAAACAUGCUCAUCAAACACGACGUCCCGAGAUAUAUAGACACGAUUAGUGGGAACAUGAAGACAUUUGUAACCUUUAUGAAGAGAGCUAUAGCCAAGAAAAACACACUUCUUAGAACGAAACUCAAGCUUGCGCUUAUUAUAUGGACGAAGAUGCGGCCAGCAAGCACACCCAAAUACCUUGAAAAAGGUAUAAUCAGGUUGUUCAUUAAGGAGAACCUCAAUGGGAGUCUUCAUGUUUAAAACACGAGUGGGAGUACGGUUGAUGAGAAAGCAUGCAGUGGUGAAAGCAUCACUCCAAAACCGAAACGGAAUAGAUGCAUGGGCCAAAAGAGUAAGACCAGCUUCAACAAUAUGACGAUGCUUACGUUCGACUGAACCAUUCUGCUGAUGUGUAUGUGGACAUGCUAAACGAUGAGCUAUCCCAAGCGACUGAAAGAAGGAGUUGAGGUUNNNNNNNNNNNNNNNNNNNNNNNNNNNNNNNNNNNNNNNNNNNNNNNNNNNNNNNNNNNNNNNNACUGGACAUGAACAAUUUUGUGCUUGAGAAGACGUUCAACAUGUUUUUGAAACUGAACAAAAAUAUCAAACGCAUCAGAUUUGCGUUUAAUAAGGUAAAGCCAGGUAAAGCGACUAUAAGCAUCAACGAAACUGAUAUAGUAAUUAUGACCACUGACAGAAGUCUGAGCAGGACCCCAUACAUCUGAAAACACAAGUUCUAAAGGAUGUUUCACCUCACGACUGGACUACGAAAAAGGAAGUUGAUGACUCUUCCCCUGCUGACAAGCAUCACACACUGCUACAUCUUUAUUACUAGACAAACUAGGAAGCUCAUGACGAUGCAAAAUAUGACGGACAAUAGGUGUGGCGGGGUGACCAAGACGAGCAUGCCACUGUGACGGAGAGACCCGAACUCCACUGAAAACACGGGCGACGCCAGGAUGCUCCAGACGGUAGAGGCCCUGGCACAACCGCCCACUAAGAAAAAUGUCCCUCGUGCCCCGAUCCUUAAUAAAAAGAUCAAAAGGGUGAAAUUCACAAAGCACAUUAUUAUCACGUGUGAGUUUAGGAACUGAAAGAAGAUUACGGGUCACAGAUGGAACUCGAAGAACAUUGCGAAGCUGAAGACUCCUAUUGGCAUGUCUAGUGAGAAGAGAUGCUUGACCAAUAUGAGAGAUGUGCAUACCUGCUCCAUUGGCGGUGUGGAUCUUGUCGGAGCCAUGAUAGGGUUCACGAGUGUGAAGCUUCCCCAUCUCGCUGGUCAGAUGCUCUGUCGCCCCAGAGUCCAUGUACCAGUGUGGAUCGAUGGAGUAGGACUGAGUGUGUCCCUGUUGCUUCUGCGGCGCGGGACGAUCAGCCAUGGCGACCUGAUGGGCAUUGUUGCGUGUAUCUUUGCCGUCAUUGCCAAGACCAAGGAAGCUUCGCUGGAAGCGCUUAUGACACUUGGAGGCCCAGUGCCCAUCGCGGCCACAAAGCUGGCACACACGUGGACCGCCAGCCCCCGGUAAGGUCGCAGUAGGUGGGGGGGCCGAGGCGGGCGACGGUGGCAGCCCCAAGGGAGACCGGGGUGAUGAAGAAGAGCGGCCACCCUUGGUGGCGGCGUUGGCCGAGAGGGAGCCAGUGCCCCUGGAGCGGCGUGUCUCGACCCGUUGCUCAGUGAGAAGGAGCCGAGAGAAAACCUCGUGUGCCAGCAUGGGUGUCGAGUUGCCCCGCUCGUUGAUGAUCUCGACUAAGGCAUCAUACUCCUCAUCAAGACCAUUGACAAUAAACGAGUUGAACUCGGAGUCGGUGAGGGGCUGUCCAAUGGAGGCCAAUGUGUCGGCGAGGCCCUUGACCUUGUUGUAGAACUCAGUGGCAGUGGAGUCAAGCUUCUAACACUCUCCAAGCUGACGACGGAGUGCAUAGACACGAGCCUGGGACUGCGCUGCAAAGGUUCGCUCAAGAAUGGUCCAGGCCUCAUGAGACGUCUUCGCGAAGACAACAAGUCCGGCAACUGCCGGCGAGAGCGACCCCUGGAUGGAGGAGAGGUUCGCCUGGUCCUGCCCCGUCCAGACGCGAUGGGCCGGAUUAUAGACCGGACCGUGCACGCUGUCUACCAGUGCGGGUGGGCAGGGAAGCGAUCCGUCGACGUAGCCUAGCAGGUAGUGACUCCCCAAGAGCGGGAGAACCUGCGCACGCCAGAAGAUGUAGUUGUCGGCGGAGAGCUUGAUGGUGAUGAGAUGACCGAAGUGAAACGGCGGCGGCGAAGACGAUCCCAUCGAGGGGGCUGCCUGGGGUGCAAACACCAUGGAGGCAGCCGGAGGCACCGAAGCCGAUGCGGGAGGAGGCGGGACCGCAGCCAGGGCGGACAUCGCAAAGCUCGCGGCCGGGUCGGACACCGCAAGGCCCGCGGCCGGGGCGGACGCCGCCAACCCUGCCAGCGGGGCGGUGUGAUCCGCUUGCGGCAGGAGCGGCGGGACGACGCCCGCGGAGUCCGCAGCGGACGGCGGCGCCGUGGUGUGGACCACGAGGUCGCGCCCAAGCGAGGGCGCCGGCGGCGUGGAGUAGACGGAGCCGAUGCUCCUGGUCCCGAUCGGAGCCGGAACGGCGACGGCAUCGAGCGGGAGGUUGAGCAGAGCCGCAAGAGAGGCCGGGAGGAACCCCGCAGCAGUGGAACCGGUGGUGGCGGCGCUCGACAUGGCGGCGGUGAAGGCGGCGGCGGCUGCGGCUGCGGCGGCGGUGCGGGUAUUAGGGUUUGGAAGCGGAAGCGAUCGUAACCUAGCGUGAUAACAUGUAAGACAAUAAGUUUUGGGGGAACCAGCACAACCCUCUAGGGGUGGCUUAUCUCAUUAUAUAUAAUGGAUGUGUUACAAUAUGUACAAUAUACGUACAUAAGUACAGAAGCUAUACAUAGUCUAACAGUGAGGGUAUUUAUCUCCGAAUUAAAACUCGGGUUGAUUCCAGUGUCCACUGCAUGCAUCGAUCCCCGAUUUGAUCCCCGCACGUCGUUAGUCAUUACUCGAUCGGUUGGUGAUCGACUUUGCAUCGGCUGGUGGUCGAUCGCAUCGUCGUAGGUUCCACGCCGUACAUGCCCUUUGCUAGGGAGCCUACAUAAGUCAGAGCGUAACUGAUUCUCCGUCUUUCAUUUCCGCGAGUGCGGUGCGCCAGCCGGGCAUUAAUAUACCAGUGCAACAAGAGUUGGAGCUCGCAGCGUGGAUUGGCCUGGCUGGUUACCAACUCUUAUAGCAUCUCCAAUGCCGAAUCUCAAAUCGCUCGUCAUCGUCUAGACCGAGCUGUCUAAAGGGCAUUUUGUCAAUCCAACGUGGCACCUCAUCGGUCCAUAGAGUAGUUCAAACGUCUACUUUUCCACAAGCGGACGCAAACCAGGGGCUUUGCGGGCGUCUAGACCGCUGCCACGUACCCGGCCGCCAACCCGGUCCCACCCAAAUCCUCUCCCACGCCCGCACACUCUAACCUGCAAAGCGGUUGCCGCGCAUUCAUGCCGGUCCAGAGUGCCAACGCCUCAUGCAGGCCGGCCUAGAGCGGAUACAACCUCUUACUGCAGCAGCAGUUAUUGAAGCGGCAUGUCAGCAAAAGGCGUUGCCUAUUCUCCGUGCAUGUUCCAAUACCGGAGACGCGUGACCUGGCGGGGCUGGACGACUGUGCACCGCAUUCAAACUGGAUCUCGCUCAUCUUCUUGUCAGCAUUAAACUGGUGCGGCAGCAGAGAAACCUACUCCGGCACCCGUAUUGGAACACCACGCCACGUGUCCCGAAUGGUGUAGCUAUUUAAACGCUGCCUCCUCCCCUUGCACGACCAGCACGACCACACCACGUCAUCCAUGACCACGAGCUGUAGACAUAUGUGGGAGAGCCUCAUGAUGGAGUAGAAGGAAGAGUUGGCCUGCAUUGGGGCCGACCGGGUGGCCCGUCGUGCGCGACAGACUGAGGAUGGCUUGCCAGCUAGCUCGUCGGAGGUUAGCGAAGAGGAGGCGUCUGACGAUGAUCUGAUGCCCUAGCCUGCGUAGUUGCACUUCAAUGUCAUUGUGGCUGAAAAGCAGCCAGUGUCACCUGUCACGGCGUCCCAACAGGAACCGGGGACGGGGCAGCACUACACCCUCUGGCUCCUUGACGAGCACCGGAUCGCGGGGGCGGGGAGGGGAGGCAAAUCAUCGACGAGCAGGCGAAUGACGAUGUCAUCAAGGCAUGGUCACGGAGGAACCGAGCUUCUUGGAUGAGCAGUGGGCGUUGGACAAGUUCAUGCGGGAUUGCAACUGCGUAUCCAGCGGGCGAACAUAUAUGCCUUGUUCACGGAUAUCGACGCGGUGGCAGAGGAAGAGGUUGCGCAGGCAACCGCGGACAUCGCUAGCUCCGCAUCGGCCAUGCCACCACUGCGGUUCGCGCCCCGCCACAAUGACCAAGACCCGACCUUGCACGUCCAGUGCCAUCGAUAUGGCGGACAACGGCAUGGAAAAGUAGAACAUGGAAGGCCACCAUGGCUUGAGUCCCAGGAAGACCACUGCCCACGUCUUGUCGGGGAUCACAACUCGUUAGCUUGUCGGACAUGGUGAAGACUGCCAUGGGAACGGACGCCACUGUGGCUGGCGAUCAUUUAGACUAGGUUAAAAAAGUCUAGUCCGCUAUAGUUUAGUUGAAAUAUGGUGAAAUGUAAUGAUUUUGAUCCGAUUUAGAUGAAAAUCAUCCAGUUUGCAUGAAUGUUAUCUGGUUUAUUCAAAUUCACUUCAAAAAUGUAUGCGGGAACGGUUGGAUAUCCGGCUCCCAUAUCACUUUUUCCGGACGCAUCUGGGCGCGUCGGCAGACGAUUAUUGUGUCCUUUUUAGGGGUUCGCAGUGGAGCUGCCCUUAUGUGGCUUUUAUAUUCGUUCCAAAGGGCCUUUAGAAGGAAAACUAAUGUCUCCAGAGUAAAUGUGCACAGUCAGGUUUCAUAAGCUGUAGCAUCAUUUCCUCUCCUGUUUCUCUCAUUUACUUUGUUGUUUAUAUCGCUCCAUUUAACAUCCAAUUUCAAAGGAAGAUGACACAAACUUUUAGGUGUUGAGCGUCACACAAUUUCACAAAAUUUGCAAUACAUUAAUCUCAAAAUGUCAAACUCAAGUCCAAAUGUGACUACAUAUAACCAUGCAUAGAUAGUUUCCGAAUGUGACAUAGACAUGGAUAGGUUCUAAGACAUACUGCAAAUAUCUAAGGACGCAAUGGGACGACAUAGCAUGGAUUGUGCUCGUCAUAGGAGUAGGAGAAAGAUAUUUCCAUGAUCAUGGCGGCAGCCGCCUGGGCAGCCCUCAUCCGUCCAUCCCGCUUGGCCCAGGCGGCGGUCUCGAAGGUGUAAGGCUCUGUUGUAUCCUUGAGCAUAUGCUCAUGUUUGGCCAAGCGUGGGCCUUAGUGGUGGAAGUGGAGGCCUCUAUCGCCUUCUGGAGCCUCCUCUCCUCUUCGGCCAUGGUCAUGCCAUCCUCAUUGGCCGACUCGACGAGAUUAUCCCAAGUGAUCUCGUCAUGGGAGUCCUGGGGAGGCAGGAGGGCCUGGACAUCAAGGGGAACUGAAAAGUGCACCUAUUGCCUUUAGUAGGUUUUGAUGAUAUAUGAUAGCUUGAUUAACAGUACUAAUGUUUUCUCUCAGUGUUUAUCAUCUUAUGUCCCAAAAGAUGCGAUUUCAUAGUAUUUAGUGAUCGAAUAUCACUUUGGAUCCAAAGACAUGCCAAUAUUAUCAAAGGGGGAUUCAGGUAUGUGUGAUAAAGUUUUUUUUGAAAGUUCUUGAAGAUCGGACUUUGAAAAGGUCAGAAGUCUCAUAAAAUCGAGUAGGAGUGAAAUCGGAUCAGAUUCAGACGGAUAAUGUGCAUGCCAUACCCUAUUCUGUUUUUUGGAUUUGAAAGCAAGACAAAUGUGGUAUGGAUGCAGAUUCGAAUACCGGAUUAUGUUGGAUUCAGACAUGGUACGGUGACAAAUCGGACACAGAUCAGAAACAGACAUACUACAUGCAUAUAUGACGAAUAUAUACAUGCUCUAAACUAAAAUUAUACAUAAAACCAAAGUAAAUAUUAGUAAUUAUACACUUAACACAUAAAGCACUAGAAGGUACUAAAGUAAUCCAAAUAAAAUAUAAGAAGCACAUAUCUAAUGUCAUAAGCAUAUAAAUACAAGUAUUGCUAGUUAAUAUUUAAAACUGUACCAAUUAAUUAUAUAACCAUAUUUAAAAGUUUGGAUUAUCCAUAUAAAAAGGAUUAUCAUAACCAUGGCAUAUUAGUAAGGGCAUCUCCAAAGCGUACCCUCAAACCUCCCCUAUAUGUCCUGGCCACAGUUCUGGAACACUUUUGUCAUCCAAUGGGAACCUAUAUAUGUCCGCUGAGCAGUCCGUACGUACGAAUUCCGGCAUCCUAGUAACAAAUGUGGAGGGGGAGGGGGGUUUGCCGGAGUCCGGACAUGCACUUGACCAACACAAAGCCUCCGGUCUUCCUCUCUUUUCUCUCUAUCUUCACAUGCAUGGCCCCCCUCCCCUCAUUCUCUUCCGAACCAGAUACCACACCACAAUAUCCCAUCAAAAGUAUCUGCAUGCAUGGUAUCCCCUUUUUGUCUCUCCUCCCAACCGGACAAAUAUAGAUUAAUUUGUGAAUAGCGUUGGAUGGCUCACAUGAAAAUCAUAGAUUAACUUUAUCAUAAGCUUUCUCAUACUGAAUUAUAAAAACCAAGCAUCUCUGCUUCGAAGUCAAAAUGGAAUGCACGGUGUUCCUCGUAAUAUUGCGUCUUCAUGGAAAAUGACAACGGUUGGGAAAGGGUGUACUUCGCAAUUGAUUAUAGCUUGAUUCAUACAUAGUAACUUCUUACAAAAAUUGGCAGAAAUAUUACAAACCUUGGUAAAGAAACACCAACACCCACACACUUGUCUGACACACUGACCCCUGACCCUCAUAACACUUAUUCUGAAGUCAUUAUGCAAAUAUUGAAAAACAGGGUAGGGAAUGAUAAAAGGCUAAACCAACCGUGCAUGCGGCGAUCAUAAAUAGCAACGUCACCCAGAGCACGAAACCAUGGGGAUUUCAGUGCUGGCCCGGAAGGUGGUAGAGACUGGAUCACUGGAGUCAGUGGUGUCCAUGGUAUCCACCGCCACCGCCACCGCCGUAGGUGGGCAUGGGAGGGACGGGAUGGUAGUCUGGGUGGGGCUGCGGCUUCGGCUCCGGCUUGGCCGCUUGGGCACGGGGUGGUAGUCCGGGUGAGGCUGGGGCUUGGGCUCCGGCUUCGGUGGCACGGGCUUCUUGUGGUGGAAGUGCUCGAUGAUGUGCUUCUUGAUUGUCCCGCACAGGGUCAUGGACGCACACUCGAGCGACGCCACGGAUGGCGUGGCGGUAUUGGCGCCGGCGAUGACACCGAAGGUGGUGCCCUCGGACACCGGCACGAUCUUGGAUGGCUCCUGGCCAGGGCACGGCGCGUUGGAUGCGGCGCUAUGGAGCUGAGCCAUGCAGUCGGCGCCAUGGAGGUCAGAAGCGAGGGGCACGCUGAAGGCGCCGGUGCCGUCGAGGGCACCCACCGCCUUGCUUGCUCUCGUAGUCGCCGUAGACGUUCUUGCACCUGAUCGCCACCUGGAGACCUGAGGUACGUUGACGGCAGAGGACAACCAUGAGCCGAUCUCCAUCUAUAUAGGUGUGUAUUUCGGGUGUGUAUAUAGUAGUAGUACGAUUGAGCUGCAUAUGUAGCUUACCCUUGAAGGCUUCCUCGGCCUUGAUGUUCUUCCUGGUGCAGUCGGCGCACUUGGCCAGACCGACGACGACGGACGCCGCCUCGGCGUUGGAAACGGCGGUCGCCAGGAGGACGGUGAGGACCAGUGCUCUCGUUGGAGCCGCCAUGUUUUUUUUUAGAAUGAAGGCUCGCGAAGAGCCCGACUUUGAAUUAACAAAACCAUCAACUGGCCAGGAAUUACAGACAAACAACAGACCACAUCGGCCCAACAAUACAAGGGAGCAUUCUAGGGAGCUUACAACUCAACGCCGCGCACAAGCUUGAAAGAAAAAUUAAAACAAAGCCCAUAGCUUGCACUAGCAGAAGACCGCAACAAACAGUACCGAGGGAAGCGACCAUCAAGCAGGAUUGAGGACCUGCUAAAACAGAGUGUGGGCAUGAACUGAACUGACGCCCAGGAUGAAGAGAUCGAAGCAUCUUCCUCCUCUCGUGCCGCCAUGUCUGAACCCGUGAAUCGAACUCAGCUUGCCUGUGUGAAGUGGCUGAUGGAUGAAUGGAUGGAACAGGCGACGCAUGGCUUUUAUAGGCCGCCGCAUUGAUCGGCGCAGCUCGAUGGGUGGUGUGGUGGCCGGCGAAGUGAUGCGUGACAACGAGAGGCCGGCUAACUCACCGAAAUUUCAGAUGGCGAGUUGAAUACCGCGCCGGCUGGAUGAUCGGAUCGGUCGGUGCGUGUGCCUCCACGUCGCUAUUGGUGAUCAACUUGGUUUGGUGGUGGAGUACGUAGGUAGGCACGGGCCGCGUCUCUCGGCAUGCACAUGCAUUUGCGUGAGUGCGUGCAUGCAUGCAUGCAGCGUAAGUUCGUAGUAGUACCCUGUUUGCUGGUGGUAAGCUGGUGUUGGAUCGACAUCAAAAUUGCUGUAAAGUGUAUGUCCAUUUUGGGGAGUAGGGAGCUUGCGGUACAGUACCAGUGAGCACUGCUUUGUUGUUCACAAGUAGAAUGUUGUGAAAAUAUGAGCAGCUUUCAGUUAUGUUUAAUCCACGAAAAAACAGAUAGAAGAUGAUCAACAUAUAGUUGACAUGAUAUUCCAACAAGAGAAGUUGGUAAACAGAACAAAAGAUCGAAGGCUAAUAGUUCAAGUUCACAUGAUCCCAUACAAGGUUAGAUUUGAUCUUACCAACAACAAGUUGCAUCGGAAAAAGAGUUGCUGAAGAUCGUGUUCUUGAAGUCCCACAAACAUAACCCUCGAACUAGAACUGAACAUACAGCCCCUCUAUGGAUCGCACCCUUAGUAUGAAACCAUCGAAUUCGAGGAUGUAGCCAAGUGCUAAUUUCAAAACGGUGUAGUGUUCAUGGUUUGAGAGUUCCAGGUCUACUUGCUACUCGUUCUAUGCCACAAUAUUUUUUGGCGAAAAAUUUAUUUUCAUCUUUUUAUUCCACUUUUUGACAAGCUAGUGAAGCCAAAAAUAACCUAACAUGUUAGGAUUGACAACCUACACUUAACUAUCAAGACUAGUGGGUGUGGAAGACCCUAUAGUCAUUCAAAAGUAACAAGUACACUAGAACUCAACCUAAUUCAUAUCUCCAAUAGAAAUAUUGAACGUUGUAGUAUCAUCAUUCAUCAUUAAGACACGCUGAUCGUAGAUAGAUAGUUCCUCCCAUACUCAUGGGGAGCUUUUUUGCAAUUUACGUAUUAUGCAAACUGAAAAUAAACUAACUCAAUUUUGAGGAAAGUAAACAUAUGAAAACGGUAAAGAUGUAAGGGCUUAUAUAUGAAUCUCCCCAAGCUUAAGCACUAAACCGGCAGGAUCUAAUAAUCCCUCUCAGUCGAUGGUACCUCGGGGUUUCUUCUCCCUUGUAGUGGAAGUGUUGUAUGCAAGGGCCUGAUGGAACAACUCAUUAGUCUUCUCUAGGUCAGCGAUGUGAUGUUGGUUCAUCCGCACAAUUUCCUCUAGGUUGGCAGUGAGGCAGGCGUUGAGAGUGGACUACUGGACUUAGUGUCCUCAACAAUCUUUUUCUCCAACUGCCUGAGAUGUUCAUGCAAAGGAUCACGGUUGAUGGGUGACCCAUUAGCAUGUACCUCAAGCCAACGAAUGUGCUCGUUGAUGUUGAUAGGAUGCGGCUUCCGUGCAUAAUUGGGGUUGACGGGGUACUUCUUCUACCAUGCUCUAGGAAGCUUGACAGAUAUAUGAGCCCCAAUAUUGAUCUUCUUGCCGGUGGUGUGGUGUGACAAGUUUAUUGAUAGGUACCCUCCAACGAUAUAUGGAUGGUAUGGCCAUCCACGACGGUUGGGGUACCCUCCUUGGGGACUUCUUCCUCAGAUGAGCUAUCUCCACCUUGAUCCCACAUUCGCCAAUCAUGCUUGAGACCUCGUCCCAACGCAUCGGGAGAAGCGUCUUCCAGCUCGAAAUCCUCCUCGUGGAAUGGGCUUGAUCCAUGUGGUGGGCAUCCGCCGGCUGCAAAGGCGACCCUCCUCCUCCUGCGAGGUCAUCUGGCAUUCGUCCCAUGAGCGUGUCAUGGCCUAAGAGAUGCUUGCCUUUACAUAAAACUUAAUAUGCAACUGGAAUAGAUUGGUUUGUCAAUGGCUAAAGGAGAGCACUCCCCAAAGGUAUAUAAAGACGUAAACCCGUCAAAUAUUCAUGAGAUUAAUUUUUGGAAGAAGAUUAGGAAAUAACCAAAGAUUUUCGGGAAAGAAUAAGGUGUCGCCGCGCGAUCAGAAGAAAAGAAGUGGCGUGGUACAAGCGAUUGCGCUCAUACCAACAGACCACCGUGUCGGUGCCCUUCGGGCAAUCGCCGCUCUGGCCCACCCAGUACAAGGCACCUAUCUACUUUGCCACCAAUCAAUACGAUCAACCCGGAGUGCAGCAAUCAUCGCAGUACUCAAUUGCAUCCUUCAUCUCCGGCCACCCUCCACUCUACAUCAUCGACCACAACAAUGACUACAUGUUCACCGAGUCGCCGACACUCGUCCAGUUGCGGCUUCCGUCCAAGGAGCCCAUGUCCGACGGUGCCCAAUCACUGUUUGGCGGAAUGCCUCCCCUAAGCUCGAUGGCGGCGACUGAGCAACGAGGCAAUGAUGAACAUGAUCCUUAAUGGUGACGGCCAUGAAGAUGUACAGGUCUAUGAUGACUACUUACCGCAUCCGGAGCAAGAGACGUUGACGGACACCCGGUAGUCAUCGGUGCUCGAUGCGGACAGAAAUAAAAAGAGGGAUUUGGCGUACUCGAACAAGGAGGAUGAAUUAUUUUGUUUGAUGUGGUUAGGCACAAGUGUUGAACCGUUUCAAUGUACGGAGAAAAAGGGCUCGGCAUUUUGGCAAAGUGUGCACGAUUGGUUUCAUGGGAAAAGCAUUAUGAGCCCUACAACAAGGAAGUUGCUAAGCCAACAAUGGUACAUCAUUCAAGGGGCCAUCAACAAAGUAUCACGGUCCGUAUGCACAAAUAGAAAACUAGUGACUAAGUUGUGUGUCAACACUCCUUGAGUUCGUAACUUUUCUUCGUGAUGCUCUAUGUGUUGGUCAUUUGAUUGAUUUUCUCUAUGUUGCAACUUGUUGAUCAUGUCAUUGUAUUGCUUUGCUAGCCCGGACGGGUAGCCAUGUUGUACCACAAGAUUGAGGGCAAGCCAUUCAUGAUGAUGCAUUGUUGGUACAAGUUGAAUGCGCAAAGCAAGUGGAGCAGCAUUACCAAUUCUCUCAAGACCACCAACCCAAAGCAAGUGAUGAAGGUGGUGAUCCAAUCGGUGCAAUUUCUAGGAGGGCUUGCACUAGCCACCCAUGUGGCUAGGUCAACGGGAAAUAAAUGGGUGAAUGAGAAAGGAAGCGAGAAGGAGUGGCGGCCAAGACGACGGGGAAAUUAUAGGACAUCAUGGCGAAGUAAGAAGAGGCAUGUGCCAAGCACAAUGAGAUCAUGGAGGAAAUUGUUCGUGGAAAUCCAAAAGAAGAAGAUUGAGUUUAAGGAUAGGAAGCUUGCGGUCAAGUAAGUGUGUGAGGAGCAAAAGGUCUAGUACAUGGAGGCUGAUGACUUGGAUCACGACGCGGCCAAGCUUGUUCACGACUUGCAUGAUAGCAUGUACACACGCCUUGUGUAAAAGGAGAGGGGAAAGUAGGCCAAAAAUUGAGGCAUUUGAUAUGGACAGCCGGUUCAUUGCUUUUGGGGUCGAUAUAUAGAUGUACAAAACUUAUUGAGUAUCCGAUGAUUUUGCUAUUGGUUACAUUUUUUUGCAACCAUUUAAAUGUAUGAUCGAAUUGUUAUUGCUCUAGAAAAUUUGACAAAGAGAGAAGGCCCGACAAGUACCUAGGACAAAAUUUGAAGGACACAAUUGCAUGACACAUCCGUGAAGGACGCAAUUGCAUGACACAUCCGCCCGGACGGAUGUUGGCGGACAGGGAAAAAUGAAUGUACUUUUUUUUUGCGGUUGAAAAAAAAUGAAUGUACUUGAUUGAUCAAGAUAUAAUGAUCGAGUAACUUUUCAUUACCAAAAUUCACACCGGUAUUACAAACCUUGGGAAAAAAUGGCCCAUGACCCAUACAUUUGCCUGACACCCGUACUUAUCCCUCAGAACUGUUAUUCUGAAUGAUAGAAGACCAAGCUAACCCGUGCACAUAUAAAUAGCAACCUCAUUCACUCACUGACAGCAACAAGCCAUCUCAGUGCUGGGCGGGAGGGUGGCAGAUCGGAGUCAGUGGUGUCCGUGGUAUCCACCGCCACCGCCACCGCCGCCGCCGUAAGUGGGCGUGGGAGGGACGGGGUGAUAGUCCGGGUGGGGCUUCGGCUUGGGUUCGGGCUUGGGCACGGGGCCAUAGUCCGGGUGGGGCUGGGGCUUGGGCUCCGGCUUGGGCGGCACGGGCUUCUUGUGAUGGAAGUGCUCGAUGAUGUGCUUCUUGAUCGGCCCGCACAGGGUUGCGGACGCGCACUCUGGCGAUGCCACCGUGUCUGUCUUGGCGCCGGCGACGACACCGAAGGUGGUGCCCUCAGACACCGGUACGAUCUUGGAUGGCUCCUGGCCCGAGCAUGGCGCGUUGGAGGCGGCGCUGUGGAGCUGUGCAACGCAGUCGGCGCCGUGGAGGUCGGCGGCGAGGGGCACGCUGAAGGCACCGGUGCCGUCGAGGGCACCCACCGCCUUGCUCUCGUAGUCACCAGCGUUGUUCUUGCACUUGAUCGCCACCUGAAGACCUGUUGUACAUUCAUGGCAGAACAACAGUGAGCAGAAUAACAUCAUGCCUUUACAAAGUGGAGUAUUCUAUCAAAUCUAGCUAGCUAGCGCUUACCCUUGAAGGCUUCCUCGGCCUUGAUGUUCUUCAUGGUGCAGUCAGCGCACUUGGCCAGGCCGACGACGACGGACACCGCCUCGGCGUUGGCAACGGCGACCGCCAGCAGGACGGCGAGGACGAGUGCUCUCGGAGCUGCCAUGUCUGAACCUCUACCACUUGCUUGCCUGUGUGAAGUGGCUGAUGGAUGGAUGAAUGGAACAGGCGACGCAUGGCUUAUAUAGGCCUCGACAUUGAUCGAUCCAGCUCGGCCGAUGAUCUGGCUGCAUGCAUGCUCGAAGCACGAAGGGGUGUGGUGGGCGGCGAAGUGAUGCGUGACAAGGAGAGGCCGGCUAACUCGCCGAAAUUUCAGAUGGCAAAGUUAAUACGGCGUCCGCUGCAUGAUCGGAUCGGUCGGUGCAUGUGCGUCCACGUCGCUGUUGGUGAUCGACUUGGUUUGGUGGUGGAGUACGUAGGUAGGCACCGGCCGCGUCUCUCGGCAUGCACAUGCAUUUGCGUGCGUGUGUGCAUGCAGCGUAAGUUCGUAGUAGUAGUACCCUGUUUGCUGGUGUUGGAUCGACAUCACAGAUUGCUGUAAAGUGCAUGUCCAUUUGGGGAAUAGUGAGCUUGCGCUGAACUGCAAAAACGGCUUACAUUAAGUCACAUACUUCCUCCGUCUAGGUGUUAGGUUGUGCACCGUGAUGAAGGCAAAGAGAAAAACGAGAGAACUUAAUAUUUAUUUGAUAAUUAAUAGCAUUGCAUGCAAUAAACUGAACCAUUGCAUGUCGUGUUUGCAAGUCAUUGAAAGCAUACACAUCACACAUCUCUUAUUGCUUGAUUCCUUUAUUUAUGUCGAGAAACAGAAAUAAGGUGAGAGUUAAUGCACCACGCCUAAGUGUUUUGAGAUUAUUUAGUUUUCAUAAGGCUACUCAUAGUGGGGAGCAUCAUAUACUAGUAUCAUGCAUAUGAUACUACCUUCAUAGUGAACAGUAUCAUAGAGUAGUAUCAUAGAUGAUCUUGUUUAUUUCAUGCAUAACACAAAGUAGCAUAACAUUUAAUAUAAUACAAUAUAUAUCUAUGUUAAUCUAGCCCUCUCUCUCUCCUUUAAUUCUCGGCGACAUCAGCGUGUUUGCUAUUCCCAAGUGCAUGAUACUAGCUAAAAUACCACCAUUAUGACCAGCCUAAGAUGACUUGUAUACCUAGACACAGGGAGUAGGGAGUAGAAUGUGUUACAUAUGAGCAGUUUGUAAUUAUGUUUAAUCAAAGAAAAAACAUAUAGAAGAUGAUCAAUAUAGUUUACAUGAUAUUCGAACAAGAGAAGUUUCUUUUUACUCGGUACAGACGCAGACGCUUAUACAUACGCAUAUACACCCACUUCUAUAAACGCAAGGACGCACACCAUACCCCUAUGAGAACCUACGAGAGAUUGAGUUGGCACAUCAUCUUGAGUUUGACGCCAUCGUAGUGAACGGGAACGUCUCCUCGCACUGAACGCUCAUCGUCAAAAGGCCUAAAAUAAAAUCAGGAAAAUGCGAGCACCAAUGUUAAGUCUAGGACUUGAACUCUGGUGGGAUUUGUAUACCACUGUCCUCAUAACCAACCGACCACAGAUUGGUUCGCUCGAACAAGAGAAGUUAGUAAGCAAAACAGACAUGCUAUUCAACGGGUAUGGUAAACAUGGCAUGUACAGAUCAAAUGCUAAUGUAGUAAGGAACUGGAAGUAAUCCCUAAUGCGAAUGAAGAAGAGUUCGCAGUCAGCGCAUCACCGACGGUUGACAUGGCCUGGAGGGAUGGGGAGUCGUGUCCGGGAAGUAGUUUUCAUUGUAUGUCGCAAUGUCGGUCGCAUGAGAUCUCUCCCAGAGAUCAUGAUCUCCUCUCUCGCUCUCUCAUACAUGAUCACAAUAGAUGGGGUACCGGAGUCCUGUUGUUCUACAUUGUGGUGCAUGAAAGUGGAAUGGAAAGACGCGCGGCACAGAUCUGGAACUGAAGAAUGGUCUCAUGUACAUUUCUAUGUGGCCCCAUCUAUUUGCAGAGGAGCAACCUCUAAUAGGCUCUAACAAACGAAACAAGUCCACUAUGGAUGAUUCUGAGAUGAAGAGUCUACAAAUGUUCGGUUUCAUCUUCUACUAGUGCAAAAUAAUGUUUUCAAUCAUGUCACGCACGACAAGAGGAGUGACAGACAUGUGACAGGUCAGAGUCCAGCUCGUUCACGAAACACAAAGCGCGUCAGGCUAGGUGAUGUCAUGCAAAUGCAUAGAGUUUAGUUGUAGUUGUUUUCGGAGUAAGAGUAUUGAUCCCACAAAGAGCUGAGGAAAUGGUAUUUUACCCCUUGUAGAGGUUUAUCCGAAUUUGCCUGCAAGUUAUUUUUAGGUCCCAAGCAAAAGCAGUGUGAAAGGUGAAAUAUUGCAAGAGUGUGUGUGUGUGUGUGUGUGUGUGUGCGCGCGCGCGCGUGUGUGUGUGUGUGUGUGUGUGUGUGUGUGUGUGUGUGUGUGUGAGUGAGUGAGAAAGCAAGAAUUAAAGUGCACAAGAAUAAUGACUAAGAACAAGAGAGUAGUGAUAAUGAUAAAAACUCCAGUAGGGCUAAAAGGCGUUCUAUGGAGUCUAUGGAGUCUGUAUUCACCACUUGUAUUUAUUAUACCUAAUUGUGUAGAAACGCAACCUUUGGUUCAAAUACGUGAUCCAUGUUAUAUAUGUAUUGUGUGGGGAGAGCCAAUAAAAAGAUACGUGCAUAUUAGCGCAGUUCUGUAUCACGCACACCAUCACUGUCGCACCAAUGCAUAUCGGCAGAGUACAAUGGUGAUUGAGAGUCUCUUCAACGAUGUGGAAUAAAACACAUGAGUCUCCGUUGUUCCCUUACCAAUGAUUCGGUAAGGAGAGAGAGAGAGAGUUUUCAUCACUGUUGUACCUCUAACCCCACAUCACAAAGAUAAUAAUAUCCGUCAAGUCCCGAUGGGCUAAAUAUUGUGCAGUCAAUGUUCGCACAAUAUCAUGAAGAACAUUAACACGAUUAUAUAACAAAGAUUGUAUAUAUUAUCGUCAUUAGGAUCAUAUAAAUGCUAGUGCUCCCAUGUGUCCACAAGAACUGAUGAAUUACUCUGACAUAGAGGCACAAGACAUCGACGAGGUGUCCAUGGCAAUGGAAGAUGAAUUGUUAAUGUAACACACGUAUAAAUCUAGACCAGGGUUUGGGAUUACAAGAAGAUGAAUGAGGGAUAUUCAAUGUAAAGUAUGUGGAUGAUGUUGUUGAUGAUGAUGAUGGUUGAUGUUGUGGUCUCGGUGGUCGAAGCUUUGGCGAGGUGGUGCCCUUCUGCUGAUUGGCACUUCGGAUUCCUUUUGGAGAUGAGGUUUUCUGCUUCUAUUCUAUGGUAUGUGAUCUCUCUGUUUGUCACGUCCGAGAUCCGAUUGCACGGGGUGGAAGUACUCCAACAGGGAGAGGUGGCACCGUGCGGUACGACCACUGGUAUGAGCAGUCACGCUUGCACUGUGCGUCGUCUUCUCUACUAGAUAGCUGGGUGCAGCUAGUUUUCCUCCCACAUUCUCGUCUCAUCGUAUAGAAAGUCUUAAUUAUGUCUAAUCAGCAUAUUUUUCACACCAAAAAUAGAUGUUUUACAUUUAGUGUUCAAAAUAUCACGGGAUUUUGAUGAAAUCAAGCAAAAGGGCAAUCACCCGUGAUAAAGUACAGAAAAUUACAUGGUUAUUGAGGCCAAGUUCUGACCCCAGGUGCGGUUGAGCCUCACCUGAUCUAGUCUUGUUCCUUUGGUGUGUUGUCGUGCUCGUGGAUGACUGCUUUGACGAUGCUACCAGUGUUUCCUUUUUGUCUUCAGAAUGUUGGUUAUGUCGUGGCCUGUUAUCUGUGUCGUAAGCACUGUGUAUCCGCCAUCUUAUUUUCUUGCUUGUUGUAAGUGUGCUCGAUGUAAUUACUGAUUGGUUAAUGACUUUGUUAAUUCAAGGUCGGUCUCUCCUUAAACUUUCGCUCUGAAAAAAAAGGAAAUUUUGACAAAGAGAGAAUGUCGGACAAGUAUUUAGGGAGCAAAUUUGAAGGACAUGAUUGGAUAACAUCGGACCGGCCGGAUGUCCGCCGGCAAUUGGCGGCGUCCGUUUGGUGAUCGCUGGGGAAAAUGAGCGUACUUGGUUGAUUCAGAUAUAGGAACUUCUCAUUACAAAAAAUCACACCGAUAUUACAAAGCUUGUAAAAAAACUGACCCAUCACCCGUACAUUUGCCUGACACACAUACUUAUCCCUCACAACUGUUAUUCUGAAUGAUAGAAGAUCAAGCUAACCCGUGACAUAAAUAGCAACGUCGCUCACUCACUGACAGCAACAAGCCAUGAAAUUUCACUGUUGUGUCGGACGGUGGCAGAUCGGAGUCAGUGGUGUCCGUGGUAUCCACCGCCACCACCACCGCCGUAGGUGGGCGUGGGAGGGACCGGGUGGUAGUCCGGGUGGGGAUGCGGCUUGGGCUCGGGCUUGGGCACAGGGUGGUAGUCAGGGUGGCGCUGGGGCUUGGGCUCCGGCUUGGGCGGCACGGGCUUCUUGUGAUGGAAGUGCUCGAUGAUGUGCUUCUUGAUCGGCCCGCACAGGGUCGUGGACGCGCACUCUGGUGAUGCCAGCGCGUUCGUCUUGGCACCGGCGAUGACACCGAAGGUGGUGCCCUCGGACACCGGCACGAUCUUGGAUGGCUCCUGGCCGGAGCACGGCGCGUUGGAGGCGGCGUUGUGGAGCUGCGCGACGCAGUCGGCGCCGUGGAGGUCGGCGGCCAGGGGCACGCUGAAGGCGCCGCUGCCGUCAAGGGCACCUACCGCCUUGCUCUCGUACUCGCCGUCGACGUUCUUGCACUUGAUCGCCACAUGGAGACCUGAGAUACGUUAACAGGAGGAGGAUAACCAUGAGCCGAUCUCCAUCUAUAUAGCAGAAAAAGCUUGUCCUUCAAAUAAAUAUAUCUAGCACCAAGUUAGUGCUAGAUACAUCCAUUUGAGAAAGUUUGGGACCAAGUUUUUUCGGACAGAGGCAGUACACGAUUGAGCUGCAUAUGUAGCUUACCCUUGAAGGCUUUCUCGGUCUUGAUGUUCUUCCUGGUGCAAUCAGCGCAGGCCAGUCCGACGACGACGGACGCCGCCUCGGCGUUGGCAACAGCAACCGCCAGCAUGACGGCGAGGACGAGUGCUCUCGGAGCUGCCAUGUCUGAACCUCUACCACUUGCUUGCCUGUGUUGGAAGGAUGAAUGGAACAGGCGACGCAUGGCUUAUAUAGGCCUCCGCAUUGAUCGGCACAGCUCGAUGGCGAUCUGGCUGCAUGCUCGAAGCUCGAAGGGUGGUGGGCGGCGAAGUGAUGCGUGACAACGAGAGGCUGGCUAACUCACCGAAAUUCUAGAUGGCGAGUUAAUAUAUACGGCGCCCGCUGCAUGAUCGGAUCGGUCGGUGCGUGUGCCUCCACGUCGCGGUUGGUGAUCGACUUAUUUUGGUGGUGGAGUAGCGUAGGUUGGCACCGGCUAAAAAUGCUAAACAUACAAAUAAGUAUACAAGUUUACAAACUCUUUCUAUCUACUAACCAAUCACAAACUUGCUCACCCCUCCCUCCCAACCCUUGAUUUUCAGGGGAUGGGCCGCCUCCCCACUUAGUGACCAAUCAAGUUAACCCUCUUUGUAAAACCUUGUAACUCAUUUGUACGUGUAGCAUUACUGGGCACCGGCCGCCUGUACAUGCAUUUGCUUGCGUGCGUGCAUGCAGCGUAAGUUCUCGUAGUAGUAUUCCCUCUGUUUUUUUAUAGUCUGCAUAUAAGAUCUGGCCAAAGUCAAACUUUGUAAAGUUUGACCAAAUUUAUUUGAAAAAAUAUCAACAUCUACAAUAUUAAAGCUAUAUGAUAUGAAAAUUAAUUUCAUGAUGCAUCUAACAAUAUUGAUUUCAUAUUGUGAGCCAUGGUAUAUUUUUCUAUAAACUUAGUUAAAGUUGAUAAAGUUUGACUUUGAUCAAAUCUUAUAUACAGACUAAAAGAAAACGAAGGGAGUGGUACCAAAAAUGCUACACCUACGUAAUGUUUGCUGGUGGUAAGCUGGUGUUGGAUCGACAUCACAGAAUUGCUGCAAAGUGAGUAGUGAGCUUGUGUGUGAACUGCAAAAACGGCUUACAUCAAGUUACAUAGGGACUAGAAUGUUACAUAUGAGCAGUUUCUAAUUAUGUUUAAUCGAAGAAAACAUGGAUAUAAGAUGAUCAAUAUAGUUAACAUGAUAUUCGAACAAGAGAAGUUUUUUUUUAAACACAUUAUAGACGCAGGCGGUAGUACAUACGCACAUACACUCGCUCAUAUAAAUAUGCACACAUGCACACCCUACCCCUAUGAGCACCUGAGAGACUGAGCCGGCACAUCAUCUUGAGUUUGACGCUAUCGUAGUUGACGGGACGUCUCGUCUCACUGAACGCACAUAGUCAGAUGACCUAAAAUAAAUUCAGAAAAAUGCGAGCACGUGUUAAGUCUAGGACUUGAACUCUGAUGGGCUGGGGAUACCACUAUUCUCAUAACCAUCCGACCACAAGUUGGUUCGCUCGAACAAGAGAAGUUGUUAAGCAAAAAAGACAUGCUAUUUGAUGUGUAUGGUAUACAUGGCAUGUCCAGAUCGAAUACUAAUAUAGUAAGGAACCGGAAGUAAUCGUUAAUGGAGGGGGAAAAUAAUGUAUGAUGUGGCAGAUGAAGAAGCGUUAGCAGUCAGCGCACCGCGAAUGGUGGAAAUGGCGUGGAGGGAUGGGGAGUCGUCGUCGGGGAAGUAGUCUUCGUUGUAUGCCUCAAUGUCGGUAGAGCUCUCCCUAAAAAUCCUGAUCUCCUCUCUCUCAUACAUGAUCACAAUAGAAGGUUCCGAAGUCCUAUUGUUCCACGUCAUGGUGCAUGAGGAAAAGUGGAAUGGGAAAGACGUAAGGGGCGCAAAGAUCUUGAACUGAAGGAUGUUCUCAUGCACGUUUCUAUGUAACCCCAUCUAUGGAUAGAGGAGCAAUCUCUAAUAGACUAACAACCGAAACCGGUCCACUAUGGAAGAGUUGGAGAUGAAGAGUCUACAAAUGUUCAGUUUAAUCCUUCUACUAGUGCAUAAUGUUUCGAAUCCUGUCACGCACGACAAGAGGAGUGACACACAUGUGACAUAGGUCAUAGUUCAGCUCGUUCACGAAACACAAAGCGCGUCAGGCGAGGUGAUGUCAUGCAAAUGCAUAGAGUUUAGUUGUAGCUGUUUUUGAAGUAAGAGUAUUGAUCGAUCCCACAAGAGCUGAGAAAAUGGUCUUUUGCCCCUUAUAGAGGUUUAUCCGAAUUUGCCUGCAAAUUAUUUUACGUCCCAAGCAAAAGCGGUGUGAAAGGUGAAAUAUUGCAAGAGUGUGUGUAUGUGUGAAAGCGAGAAUUAAAGUGCACACAAACAAUGACUAAGAAUAAGAGAGUAAUGAUAAUGAUGAAAACUCCAAUAGGGCCAAAAGGCAUUCUCAUAUAGUCUGUAUGUACCACAUGUAUUUAUUAUACUUAAUUGUGUAGAAACACAACCUUUGGUUCAAAUACUUGAUCCAUGUUAUAUAUGUAUUGCGCGGGGAGAGCCAAUAAAAGCUAUUGGCAUAUUACCGAUGUUCUAUAUCACGCACGUCAUCACCAUCCCUCCAAUGCAUAUCGGCAGAGUACGAUGGUGAUUAAGGGUCUCUCCGGGGAUGCGGAUUAAAACACUUGAGUAUUUGUUGUUUCCUUGCCAAUGAUUUGGUAAGGAGAGAGAUAGCUUCUAUCACUGUUGUACCUCUAACCCCUCAUCACAAAGAUAUAAUAUCCAUCAAAUCCUGAUGGGCUAAAUAUUGUGCAGUCGAUGUUGGCACAAUAUCAUGAAGAACAUUAACACAAUUAUAUAACAAAGAUUGCAUAUAUUAUUGUCAUUAGGAUCAUAUAAAUACUAGGGUUCCCCAUAUCCACAAGAAUUGGUAAAUUACUCAGGCAUAGAGGCACGAGACAUCGUCGAGGUGUCCAUGGCAAUGGAAGAUGAAUUAUUAAUGUAACACACGUAUAAAUCUAGACUAGGGUUUGGGAAUACAACAAGAUGAAUGAGGGAUAGUCAAUUUUGAGUAUGUGGAUGAUAUUGCUAAUGAUGAUGGCUGAUGUCAUGGCCUCGGUGGUCGAAGCUUUGGCGAGGUGGUGCCCUUCUACUAAUUCGCACUUCGGAUCCCUUCUGGGGAUGAGGUUUUCUACUUCUAUUUCAUGGUCUGUGAUAUCUCUGUUAGGCACGUCUGAGAUCCCAUUGCACGGGGUGGAAGUUGUCCACCGGGUGGAGGUGGCGCCGUGCGGUAUGAACAGUCGCGCUCGUAUUGUGCGUCGUCUUCUCUCCUAGAUAGCUGGUCGUGGCUAGUUUUCCUCCCACAUUCUCGUCUCUUCGUAUAGAAGUCUUUAUGACGUCUAAUCAGCAUAUUAUUCACACCAAAAAUAGAUGUUUUACAUUUAGUGGUCAAUAUCCUGGGAUCUUGAUGACAUCAAGCGAAAGGGAAAGCAACUGUGAUAAAGUGCAAAAAAUUAUGUGGUUAUUGAGGCCAAGUUCUCGCCCCAAGUGCGGUUGAGCCUCGCCCUUGAUCUAGCGUGUAAUGGUGGAUGACUGCUUCAACGAUGCUAGUGGUGUUUCUUUUCUACUCCCUCCGUUCCUAAAUAUUUGUCUUUCUAGAGAUUUUGACAAGUGACUACAUACGGAGCAAAAUGAGUGAAUCUACACUAAAAUAUGUCUAUAUACAUCAGUAUGUGGUAGUCCAUUUGAAAUCUUCAGAAAGACAAAUAUUUAGAAACGAGGGGAGUAUGAGAGUGCUGGUUAUGUCGUGACCUGUUAGCUAUGUGUAAGCACUGUGUAUCUGCCAUUUUAUUUUCUUGCUUGUUGUAAGUGUGGUCGAUGUAAUUGCUGACUGAUUAAUGGCUCCAGACUUUUCUUAAACCUUCAUUAAAAGAAGAGUAAAUUUGACAAAGAGAGAAUGUCGGACAAGUACUUAGUAGCAAAUUUGAAGGACAUGAUUGGAUGACGUCCGCCCGGCCGGAUGUCCGCGGACAUUUGGUGGCGUCCAUUUGGUGAUAGCCGGGAAAAAAGAGUGUACUCCCUCCGUCUAGAUGAGCAAGUCAUCUUAGAUUGUGCACCGUGACCAAGGAGGAGGAGAAAACGAGAGAACUUAAUGUUCAUUUGUUAAUUAAUAGCAUUGCAUGCAAUGAACUAAUCACUGCAUGUCGUGUUUGGUAAUCUCAAGUCAUUAAAAGCAUGCACACCCCACAUCUCUUAUUGGUUGAUAUGUCAAGAAACAAGAAACAAGGUAGAAUUUAAUGCACCGCGCCUAACUGUUUUGGGAUUAUUUGGUUUCGUAAGAUGACUUACACACCUAGACGGAGGGAGUACUUGGUUCAUUCAGAUAUAUAGCGACUUCCCAUUACAAAAAAUCACACCGAUAUUACAAACCUUGUAAAAAAACUGACCAUCACCCGUACAUUUGCCUGACACACAUACUUAUCCCUCACAACUCUUAUUCUGAAUGAUAGAAGAUCAAGCUAACCCCUGACAUAAAUAGCAACGUCGCUCACUGACAGCAACAAGCCAUGAAAUUUCACUGCUAGGCCGGAUGGUGGUAGAUCGGAGUCACUAGUGGUGUCCAUGGUAUCCACCACCGCCGCCGCCGCCGCCGUAGGUGGGCGUGGGAGGGACGGGGUGGUAGUCCGGGUGGGGCUGCGGCUUGGGCACGGGG
This 33737-nucleotide long non-coding RNA is filed under the name Triticum aestivum (bread wheat). RNAcentral describes it as "long non-coding RNA (TAES_LNC021802)". The record is from RNAcentral. Lineage: Eukaryota; Viridiplantae; Streptophyta; Magnoliopsida; Poales; Poaceae.